UGCAGAAAAGCAACCCUGUAAAAAGAGAUACAUACAAUUCCAUAUAUGUACGUUUAUAAAAUGUUGCGCGUUAAUUCAGUGAAUUCUAAAUCGAAUUAUUAUAUUUCGUGCGUUGUUUAAGUGAUUUAUGUUUUGUGAUUAAAUCUACAGUUUACUAUAUUAUCAAGAAAAGAUAAACAAAAAUGAAAAAAAACGCCAUUUCAAAAAAUGUAAGGUGCAUUUAAAAAAAAAUUGAGCGAUCGGGGUGCCUCAUGACCGGAGAGGAAAAAGACGAGGCUCUCGACCAGGUAGCAAGCCUUUUACCUAUUCAAAACUUUGAGGGAUGUUUGGAAGUGGAAGAAAUGUUAGAGAAACCUGAGUUCGCACAAUCUAUGAUCAGUUAUGUCCACAAACUUAAAGAGACAUCGGAUAGACGGAGGUCUAUUGAACGGGGUCACCACCGAAAUAACCAAAAAAAAUAUAUUGUUACGAAUUUACUCUUGCUAGUUUACUUUGUUAGGUUCGUAUCUCUGGAUUGACAAAUAAAAUCAACACUGUUUAAUUUAAUUCAACAACUCUUUAUUUCACAACUCGUCUACACUAUAGCAGUUUACUCUUAGCACUGAUUGAUUACGUUGGCGCUGCCACGGCUUAUAUAGCCACGCACUUCUCGCUGAUGCCGACGUGUCCUUCUAGAAUAUCGCGUCUGGAAAUUACCAGAACAUACGGCUAUACGGCGCCAGACGCAAGCAGACAGUCGCGGCGCCAGACUCAGCAAUUGUUUAACUAGACGAGCAGACAGUGUGGCGCCAGAUGUCUACAACAAGACAAAUGCUAUUCCAUAUACCUACAGCUAUUGUUCAUAAUCAGGGAUGCAUAUAGUAAUACAAAUA
Bactrocera dorsalis (oriental fruit fly) is the source of this 872-nucleotide long non-coding RNA. RefSeq lists it as uncharacterized. NCBI's taxonomy places the organism in Eukaryota, Metazoa, Arthropoda, Insecta, Diptera, Tephritidae. The record is from RefSeq and is a predicted model, not a curated record. The transcript has 2 exons.